Molecule: unclassified non-coding RNA, 367 nt
Filed under: Escherichia coli 55989
Lineage: Bacteria; Pseudomonadati; Pseudomonadota; Gammaproteobacteria; Enterobacterales; Enterobacteriaceae
Description: isf
Source: RNAcentral
AAGAGAAUCGCGGAAACCGCUUCAGACAAGCCUCCGCAAGGAAAAUUAGUCACGACUGAAAGCAUUGGCUGGGCGACAAAAAAAGUUCCAGGAUUAAUCCUAAAUUUACUUAAUGAUACAAAUUAGAGUGAAUUUUUAGCCCGGAAAGUUGUCUCGUGGCGUGAGAGGAUGCGCUUACCGGACGCAUAAUAAACCCCAUAGCGUUACCUUCAUUUGCCGCAUCAACAAGUUCAGCAUGCUCUUCUUCAGUCAAAUCAUCUGCCAACCAACCGAUCACCACACUGUAAUUGCCCGUGCGUAAAGCGCGAACCAUUGACUCCACAGUGUGGCAAGGGGAGAGCUGGCUAAUCUGCAUUACUUUCGUUAA